This 527-nucleotide long non-coding RNA is filed under the name Volvox carteri. RNAcentral describes it as "long non-coding RNA (VCAR_LNC002020)". The record is from RNAcentral. Lineage: Eukaryota; Viridiplantae; Chlorophyta; Chlorophyceae; Chlamydomonadales; Volvocaceae.
UGCACCAGCCUCAAGGUGCAGCUUGGAAAGGCCUCGCAGGCAAUCAAUGUAGGCAGCGAUACCCUCGCCUCCUACUUGGACUUGGUUCUUCGCGUCUGUGAGGGCACUCGCGUGGUCAUGUGCAGCAACUUUACAGAGAGCAACGUCACGGAUGCGGCCUGGAAGACGGCAUUCGCUGGGGCAAACACGGAAUUGGUAACAUUCUUCCUCAGCUUGAUCAGCGGGCCCACUUGCCUGCCCGAGCUGGACGGAUAUACAAUCCGGACACGCGCCAACUCCGAGAAAUGCGUGUUAUUCGACGAGGAGCGGAGUAUUCCUUGCGUUCCACCGCCUGGCGUUAAUUGCUCGUGAGUCGAAUGGGCCCGAUCGCUUCCAACAGCACGAUGCUGAUGGUGAUGAUAGUGGUGAUGCUCGGGUUGGGGGGUCGAGCAUCUCAUGGUUAUUUGCGUUCUUUGCCUUUGAGCCGAAUCUUGAAUCGAUGCUGGGUGGCUGGGAGGUAGGUAGGUAGGUAGGUAGGUAGGCUUUGC